Corticium candelabrum is the source of this 3058-nucleotide RNA transcript. It is a transcript of the gene named polycystin-2-like protein 1, with no coding region annotated. The transcript has 18 exons. The record is from RefSeq and is a predicted model, not a curated record. Lineage: Eukaryota; Metazoa; Porifera; Homoscleromorpha; Homosclerophorida; Plakinidae.
UCGAGUCGUUUGUUCUAUUCAACUAUUUUGUUUGGACAAUCAAGCCUUUGACAAUUGCAAUUGCAAACGAUUUGUGAAACAGUCUUCAAAAUGUAUAUUGACGUCACACUAUUUGUCAAUUUGCAAAUGUACUGUUGUCCGUAGUUACUCGACGUCAUGUCUAUUGACACAGUAUCUCAAGUCAUCCACUUGAUGGCAUUCGCUGCUUACAUAUUGUGACGUCACAAUUAACCGGUCUCAGUUGCCAGUCGUUUUCAGUAACGGAAGAUCGCAUGUCGGGCAAUCCGAAUCGCAGCCACUGGGAGGACGAAACGGAGCUGCAGACGUUUGAGCAUGGUGACGUCUAUCGUCCUCUCUCGAGCCGUUCACAGAUCUCGGAAGCUUGGAGUGAAACAAGACCCAGUGGAGAAGUUGGCAAGUCUGAUCAUGACAGGGCGGCUGUAGAUGUUGAGAUGAAUACACGCGAUGACGGGAAGGACGGGCGACCGACGUCUCGAAUUAUGAACGUCCUCAUGAAAAUAUGGCGAACUAGACACACGUUGAAGGACGAACAGAGCGACAGAGAAUUGGUCAUAAAGACGACGCUUAGAGAACUGAUAACGUACAUUGUUUUCGUUAUCAUCAUAUGCAUUGUAACAUAUGGUAUGACCAACACCAUCACGUAUUACUACACCAGGGCAAUGAGAAAUUUGUUUGUUAAUGUGAAACUUGAAAGCGGGAGUAGUAGCACAUUUGAAAGUAUUACCAGUUACGAAGACUUUUGGAAGUAUGCUGAAGGUCCUCUACUGGAUGGCUUGUAUUGGGAGAAAUGGUACAACCAAGAGAACAUCUCACAAGAUGAUUAUGGAUAUUUGUACUAUGAGAACAAACUCCUGGGACGUCCAAGACUGAGGCUGUUAAGAGUUCGUUCGGAUAGCUGCAGCAUUCACAGCGAAUUUAAAAAAGAGAUCACUGAUUGCUAUGGUGACUAUGCAAAGGGAAUUGAAGACAAAAGCAGUUUUGGUCUUGCGAACAAUGAGACGGCAUGGACAUACCAGACGUCUAGUGAAUUGAAGAGCCGAGACUAUUGGGGCAAGCUGGCAACGUAUGACGGAGGAGGGUUCACACAUUUGCUGCCUGAAUCUCGUAGGCAAGCUGCACGUGUGAUUGCUGAACUCAAAGACAAUAUGUGGCUUGAUCGAGCAUCUCGAGUUGUAUUUCUUGACUUCACUGUGUACAAUGCCAAUAUCAACUUAUUUUGUGUUGUGAAGCUUAUUGUCGAGUUUCCAGCUACUGGAGGUGCGAUAUCUUCUGCUGUUUUCAGGAGUGUGAAACUGCUGCGCUACGUAACAUCCCUUGACUACUUUGUGGGCUUUUGUGAGGUCGUAUUCUGUUUGUUCAUCAUCUACUACAUUGUGGAGGAAGUCCUGGAGAUCUACUUGCACAGAAUGAAGUAUUUCAAGAAUGUUUGGAAUUGCCUUGACAUACUCAUGAUAUUGAUUGCAAUUGUGUGCAUGGCAUUCAACAUUUAUAGGACAGUGACGGUUGGGGGUAAAUUGCAGGAGCUGCUGGAUUAUCCUUCGCAGUAUGCAAGUUUUGAGAAUCUUGGUUUCUGGCAAGUGCAAUUCAACCACAUGUCGGCUGUUCUUAUUUUCUUUGCUUGGUUUAAGCUCUUCAAAUACAUCAGUUUCAAUAAAACAAUGAAUCAGUUGUCAUCCACUCUUUCCAAGUGUGCAAAGGACGUGUUGGGAUUCUGUGUCAUGUUCUUCAUUGUAUUCUUUGCGUUCGCACAGCUGGGAUACCUCGUGUUUGGGGCACAACUUCGUGACUUCAGUACAUUUGGAGACAGUGUAUUCACGCUGUUUCGCAUCAUCCUUGGUGACUUUGAUUUCAUUGCUUUGGAAGAUGCCAACAGGAUCCUUGGUCCCAUCUUCUUUGUCACUUAUGUCUUCUUUGUGUUCUUUGUUCUGCUGAACAUGUUUCUUGCAAUCAUCAAUGACACAUAUGGUGAAGUCAAAGCUGAAAUUCGUGAUGAUGAUGAAAUGACCGUUACUGACUACUUCAAGAAGAGUUACAACAAGUUGUUAGGCAAGUUGACAUCUCGGCGAGCACAAGUUCUUGAUGUUGCUGAAGCAUUGAAAGAUGCAGAUCAUAACAAAGACAAGAAUAUUGAUUUUAAAGAGUGGAGGACUGAAAUGAAACGACGAGGUCGCAGUGAUAAAGAAAUUGAAGAAGCAUUUGCGGCAUAUGAUGAAAACGGUGAUCGAGUCUUAUCUGAAGACGAGCAACGGCACUUGGCAAGAGAUCUGGAACGUGAAAAAGCUGACUUAGAUGAAGAAAUCAGAGAGGCAGAGUUCGCUCACGACAAAGCAAAAUCAAGGGCUAAAACUGCAAUGAAGCAUCGUCAUGUGACUCAAGAAAAGACAUCAGCAGCAAAUGGUGUGUCACUAGAUGAGUUUGCCAUUCUCAGUCGACGUGUGGACCGUCUAGAGCAGUCAAUAGGAGGCGUGAUGUCCAGGAUUGAUGCUGUGAUUAUCAAACUGCAUGAUAUUCAUCUGCAGAAGCCUUUGCAACUUCCAUCUCUCUCACUUCACCCACAGAGCCACAAGCGAGAGGUACUACCUCCGUUGCCUUUGGUACCUGCACCUGCACUUGUGCCUGCUCCUGCACCCUCGUAUGUAUCUACAGAGUCACAGUUGCAUGCACCUAAGCCAGCCACUCCACCAAGUAGAGCCGAGAGAGGAGAAGAGACGAAAGAUAAAAUGUGAAAAAUAAGAAGAGCAUGAAGAAACAGUCUGCAAGACAGUUAACCGGUUGCAUAUUAACUGAGCUGUGUGCAUGCAUGGACCAUUGUUUGCUGUAUUUAGUAUAUAGUGUGUAUACAUACACAUAGUAGCAAUAAUGUAUGUACUAUAUGAGAUGUCUAUCAUUAAAUGUUCAGACAGAGAGCACAUCGUCUCAUGAAAACCGUUCCAUUGAGUGCUUAGUGCAGGAAGAACUGGGAAAAUAUACAAGUCAUAACCAGACAAACAGGAAGCCACUGAACACGGGAGUGUCUAACGAGAAUGGCAACAAAGCU